Rhipicephalus sanguineus (brown dog tick) is the source of this 576-nucleotide long non-coding RNA. RefSeq lists it as uncharacterized. The record is from RefSeq and is a predicted model, not a curated record. NCBI's taxonomy places the organism in Eukaryota, Metazoa, Arthropoda, Arachnida, Ixodida, Ixodidae. The transcript has 2 exons.
AAAGUUCAGUUUCCGAUUUUUCUUCACCUGCGCGCAGCACCGAGUCUAUAUCCCCAAUUACAUUUUCUAUGGACGGCAUCAUUUCGAUUAUAGAAAACAUUAAGCUUUCUUCUUCUGCAGAUGUGGAUGACAUUAAUUCAAAACUUCUCAUAAAUGUUAAACAUGUGUGUGCCGCAUACCUUACAUUGUUAUUUUCGCAGUCAUUAUCAUCAAGCAUUCUGCCAGCAGACUGGAAAGUAGGCAAGGUCGUUCCAGUCUACAAAUCAGUUCACUGAAUCAUCCACCGUACAUCACGCCCCCUCCGCACAUAUCCCAUCGCACUGGUCAUCCGUUACAAGUCGCAAUACCACGUACCCGGACCACUGCAUUCCAAGCCUCCUUUUUCGUAAGAGCAGCAAAAGACUGGAACGGCCUUCCUCACGCCAUCUGUGCCAUCACUAACCCAUCUAUGUUUGCAGAAGCCAUUAAAAACACCGUUGUAUAUUUCUUUUUUGUUAUACACCACCCCUUAUGUAAUACCCCUACAGGGGGUCUUUAAGGAAAUAAAAGUGAAGUGAAGUGAAGCGAAGUCUUCAA